Molecule: ribosomal RNA, 253 nt
Filed under: uncultured bacterium
Lineage: Bacteria
Description: partial 16S ribosomal RNA
Rfam family: Bacterial small subunit ribosomal RNA
Source: RNAcentral
UACGUAGGGUGCAAGCGUUAAUCGGAAUUACUGGGCGUAAAGCGUGCGCAGGCGGUUAUGUAAGACAGUUGUGAAAUCCCCGGGCUCAACCUGGGAACUGCAUCUGUGACUGCAUAGCUAGAGUACGGUAGAGGGGGAUGGAAUUCCGCGUGUAGCAGUGAAAUGCGUAGAUAUGCGGAGGAACACCGAUAGCGAAGGCAAUCCCCUGGACCUGUACUGACGCUCAUGCACGAAAGCGUGGGGAGCAAACAGG